RNAcentral lists this long non-coding RNA (847 nucleotides) under Marmota monax (woodchuck). The record is from RNAcentral. Lineage: Eukaryota; Metazoa; Chordata; Mammalia; Rodentia; Sciuridae.
UCUGAGCAUGAGAGAACUCUGAAUGAGAAGCCUGACUGUAAAGGAGGCACAGAUUUCAGGUGUCACCUAGUAAUUAUUUUAUCAGACAGAGUUGUGCAAUUGCUUUUCAUUGAAAGGGGAGAUGGUCACUUACAGAAUACAAUUUUCUGCUUUAGAGUCAGAGAGAGGUUUUGGUAAAGUGUUAUGGAACCUCAGAAAUGGUAAAUAUUCUAACUUGGGAGAUCCGUGAAAGCUUCACGGGGAAGAGGCUAUUUGUCAUAGGCUUGAAGGCUGGUUAGGAUUUGGGUCAGUUAGGAAAGGACAUUCCAGGUCGAAGGAACUGCAGGAGCAAAGGAAUGAAGAGAGAAGUGUGGAAAGAGGAACUUCUGAUUGACUGAAGAUACUGUUCAUUUCAUUUUUCAGGAAUUAUGAACCACAGAGAAUGUUGCAUAUAUUCAAAGAAGAUGCUGUUGUUUCAUUUUAGGAAAAGCUUCUGCACACUGAUUAUAUGCACAGUGCUGUUUACCAGUUUGGGGAAUACACACAUGAAAAAGACAUGGGGAAUUAGGAAAGCCUGCAAUCUAACAAAUAACUACAUACAUAUAGAAAGUAUUAAGGACAGUAAGAACAUUAUAGAAAGAAUUAUAGGAACAGUGAGGAGAACCUCACUCUGGUAUUUGUAGUCCAUUAUGCUGCUUUUAUUUUUUAUUUUUUGUCUCUUUUCUUGGUAAUACUGUCUGCUGUUUGGAAAAAUAUUUAGAAGGAUCCAUUUUAUUUUAUUUUUUAUGAAGCUGUCAGUGAUGGUGCUAUCACAAUAAGAUAUUCAGUUCAUGUUGGUCCUUCAGUUUAAUUUGUUUUUAUCUUGCUG